This 58-nucleotide transfer RNA is filed under the name Cricetulus griseus (Chinese hamster). It matches the Rfam family "tRNA", at positions 8 to 63 of the family's 71-position model. From Rfam's summary of the family: Transfer RNA (tRNA) molecules are approximately 80 nucleotides in length. Their secondary structure includes four short double-helical elements and three loops (D, anti-codon, and T loops). The record is from Rfam by way of RNAcentral. Lineage: Eukaryota; Metazoa; Chordata; Mammalia; Rodentia; Cricetidae.
UAGCUCAGUUGACAGAGUGCUUGCCUCAUAUGCAGCAGGCCCUGGGUUCGAUUCCCAG